AACAAAACACUUUUAUCGAUUGAAACCACCCCUAGGUGUUUUCUCCAAGUGUUUUCUCUGAAUUGAAAAUCUAUUGUUGCGACUCUUUUCUCUGAAUCCCUAUUGCACUGCAAGCUCAUCCGCCGUAGCCUCAUUGCGCCCUUCUUGAUCCUCUAUCACCCUUCAUUCCUCCCACCCACACCCCUGCCAUCGUGCCCUACUUCAUCUAUGCCUCUCCAUUCUCUUGCAAUCAGUGCCUCCUUCCCACUGCCCUAUUGUGCGCUAUCUCACUUCGUGUAGAAAUGGUCUUCCGCACAGUCACAGUCGCAAUUUCCCUCCACACAGUUUGCAGCUGCCAUCAUCCUCGGCGCAGUGCCCACCCGCUCACGGCUAUCAUAUAUGGAUGUUCAGCUGGAGGAUUGACUUCGAUAUUGCAUUGUGAUUACUUUUGAGUUCUAUUGCCUGCAGGAGCUAAAGUUAAAUGCCUUUCAGAUAUAUUGGUAUAUUUUCAUUCACACCCAUUAUAUUUAAUAAAAAAAAUGCACCUGACGAUCUUAUUAUCUCUAACAAUAACAUCAUAAUAGAAAGGGAAUCAAUAGUAAAAAUCAUAGGCUAAUAGCUCCUAAUAUAUACAUAGACGAUAUAUAUAAUUAUGAAGGUAAUCAAAAGCAUGUAGUGUGCCAUCCAUGAGGCAGCAUAAGUGUGAGAUCUUAAUUAUGAAACUUAUGAGGUUUUAUUAUGAAACUUUAUUUAGGAGGUAUAUUUAGGAGGUUUUAUUAUGAAACUUUAUUUACCUUCAUCCUGUUUAAUAAGGCCUUAAAGUUUCUUGCCACUUCAACCAAAUCCAUGAAUGAAUUGCUUAAUGUUUCUUUUUAUCUUUUUUUAAGAAAAACAUAAAAAGAAACUCCAUCUUCCAAAUAAGGAAAGUGUGAAAGUUCAUUCUUAUCUUUAAUUUAAGAUUGAGUAUACAUAUGAUUGUGCAUCUGUUAUAACUUUAGGAAGAAAGCCAAGGGCCGCAAGGAAUGAAAAGCACCUAUUUUUUGUUGGUAAAAUUUAGUAUUAAGACUGUAAGAAAUAGGAGAGUAAAGAAAAUGAGGAAGCAGAUGCCUCAAAGACUUAUUGUUUCUCUCAGUACUUACUUUUCUAUUUGACUACUCUUUGGUAGUCAGUGAGAUUUCUUCAACAAGACAGUAUGCUAGUACCACUUUCUUAUCGAUUAACUUGUUUAAAAUUUCAAUAAGUAACCAAAAGGCUUGUCACAGAAAUCCAUGAUAGAUCAGAAGGUGGCAUUAUGGAAGAAAUAAAGAUUUAUGUUGGUGUAAAUAUACUGAAUUAGUGAGAUAUGCUCUUUUUUAACUUUGUUAAUGCACGUUUGGGCAUUUAAGAUUCUCAAUAUAUUCUUCUCUUGCCCAUGGCACAAGGAAUCUCAUAGGGCUCUCUCUCCUUUUUACAUUUUAUUUUAAUGUUUUUUUUAGAGGGAGGGAGACUAGGAAAAGAAUAUCAAAUAAUACAAGAGAAGGGAGAAAAAGAGAUCCUCAGAACUUAUGCUUUGUGCCAUGGCAUCUUCCCCUCUUUAUGCUAGCCAAUGAAAUUUAAAUGUGUAGAGCUUACUUUUUGCUCCUUAUUAAUGUACAGUGAAAUUGCUCAUUUUAAAUGCAUUGUCCUCUUAGUCUAUAGUGUGUGAUAUGAUCUCCUCUUGUACAUUCAGAAAGAACUUUAUGAGUUUAUAUUGCGGACUAUUUCAUAGGACUCGUUGAUGCAUUAUGCGGAUUA
Arachis stenosperma is the source of this 1752-nucleotide long non-coding RNA. RefSeq lists it as uncharacterized. The transcript is spliced from 3 exons. The record is from RefSeq and is a predicted model, not a curated record. NCBI's taxonomy places the organism in Eukaryota, Viridiplantae, Streptophyta, Magnoliopsida, Fabales, Fabaceae.